RNAcentral lists this long non-coding RNA (418 nucleotides) under Astyanax mexicanus (Mexican tetra). Its description in RNAcentral is "lncRNA (ENSAMXG00005017464.1)". Lineage: Eukaryota; Metazoa; Chordata; Actinopteri; Characiformes; Acestrorhamphidae. The record is from RNAcentral.
AAAAUACAAAAAUAAAUAAAAAUAAAAAAAAAACUAAACAAAAAUAAAAACAAACCAAGUCCAAGCGCUCUCUGCUGCAGCCCCCCUUCAGCCCGUGCUGGGACCCCCAUGCUUUUCCCUUGUGGGCUGCUCCAAAGAGAAACCCGCUCAGAGAUCUGUCAAUCAAUCUUCUUUCAGGGGUGAGUGAACAGGAUUGCCUUCAUCAUCACUCGGUGAGCAACAUCUGACCACAUUAAAGCCCACUAAAGGUUAAUUUAGAGGAACAUAAAUAUUAGUGCUGGUGUUGGUGGCAGUGGCAGCUUUGGGAAUUAAGCCAAAUGCAUUUUCCUCUAUCUGCUUGUUGAGAUGUCAGAGCUCAUCAGCACUCAAAACUUAAAUAUUAUUAUAUUUCUAAUAAAAUAAAACUUAAUGUUUAUCA